GCAGGCGCGAAAUCUUUACAAUGCGGGAAACCGCGAUAAGGGGACCCCGAGUGCCAGCAUUUAUGUUGGCUGUCCACAUGUGUAAACGGCAUGUGUUAGCAAGGGCCGGGCAAGACCGGUGCCAGCCGCCGCGGUAACACCGGCGGCCCCGAGUGGUAAUCACUUUUAUUGGGUCUAAAGGGUCCGUAGCCGGUUUGAUCAGUUCUUCGGGAAAUCUGACAGCUCAACUGUUAGGCUUCCGGGGAAUACUGUCAGACUUGGGACCGGGAGAGGUAAGAGGUACUACAGGGGUAGGAGUGAAAUCUUGUAAUCCCUGUGGGACCACCAGUGGCGAAAGGCGUCUUACCAGAACGGAUCCGACGGUGAGGGACGAAAGCUGGGGGCACGAACCGGAUUAGAUACCCGGGUAGUCCCAGCCGUAAACGAUNUNAUCUAGUUAAUAGGNUUUCUUUACNACCACUUCUUUUUUCUUAUCCACCCCCCAAACUCCCGCCUGGGAACGAG
RNAcentral lists this ribosomal RNA (504 nucleotides) under uncultured Methanococcoides sp. Its description in RNAcentral is "bacterial SSU rRNA". It matches the Rfam family "Archaeal small subunit ribosomal RNA", at positions 335 to 838 of the family's 1478-position model. The record is from RNAcentral. Lineage: Archaea; Methanobacteriati; Methanobacteriota; Methanomicrobia; Methanosarcinales; Methanosarcinaceae.